Bradysia coprophila is the source of this 709-nucleotide long non-coding RNA. The record is from RefSeq and is a predicted model, not a curated record. NCBI's taxonomy places the organism in Eukaryota, Metazoa, Arthropoda, Insecta, Diptera, Sciaridae.
CAACGAAUUUGACAGUUGCUCAGUGACAUUAUAAAAGGCAAAGGCAAAAAACAAAACAAAACUUGUAAACAAUACAUUAAACGAAACAAUGGAAGGUGUAAAGGACGUAAAUUUGGUGGAAGACGAGAUGGAGUUCCAGCCAUCAUUGUAUAUCCGAACAUCCGAUGUGCCUCUGACUGUUAGUAUGAGCAACAUUCUGGAGAACCUGGAGCACAUAUACGGGCCGUCAUUCGUUGGAAUUCAACAUAAACUGUACAUUCAUAUAAUUUGUCCGAAGUUGGCGGUUGCUAAGAAACUUCAAGUGGAUGGUAUCGAUAUGGGACGAAAUUCGACGAAAAUUCGACUUUACAACGUUAUUCAACAUAACGCCUGGUUGGAUGAUGAACUUGAAAAAUGAAGAGGUGCAGGGAGCCGAUUUAAUGUUCGGAAAGUUCUUUCUAAUUCAAAUUUUUCUUUCGGAAACCUACGAGUAGAAUCAUCUUCAGUAGUUUCUGUACUUUGUUGCCUUCGUCUCGAAAUACAAAAGUUCUCACACAUCUACUACAAUCAUCCCAGCAGGACAGUAACAUACUACUUUUGCCGGAGAUUUUCUUAAUUCAUUUAAAUUCCAGGUGCCAUAUUCGUCAUUGUCGUUCUACCCGAAACCGAGGGUAAAAGCUUCGAAGACAUAUCAAGAAUGUUAGCGAAUUGAAUAAAUUAUUUUCUUAAA